UGAGUAACACGUAUCCAACCUGCCGUCUACUCUUGGACAGCCUUCUGAAAGGAAGAUUAAUACAAGAUGGCAUCAUGAGUCCACAUGUUCACAUGAUUAAAGGUGUUCCGGUAGACGAUGGGGAUGCGUUCCAUUAGAUAGUAGGCGGGGUAACGGCCCACCUAGUCUUCGAUGGAUAGGGGUUCUGAGAGGAAGGUCCCCCACAUUGGAACUGAGACACGGUCCAA
This 227-nucleotide ribosomal RNA is filed under the name uncultured bacterium. Its description in RNAcentral is "partial 16S ribosomal RNA". It matches the Rfam family "Bacterial small subunit ribosomal RNA", at positions 107 to 334 of the family's 1533-position model. The record is from RNAcentral.